GUUGGUCCCCGGUUCCGGGCCAGGCGGCAGCAGCGGCGGCAUCACCGGUAUCGGCAUCACCGGUAUCGGCACCGGUAGAGCAGCAGCAUCGCGGCGCACUGCGGAGCGGAGCGAGCCGCGAUGUGACCCCGGGGCCGCUGUGGAACCGGACCCCCCCCCCCCCCCGCAACAUCCCGCAUCCCCUGCGGGGCCCGAGGAGGAGAUGACGCCCCCCCCGCGCCGUGCGCUGCCCGCCGCAGAUGAGACCCCCCGACCAGGUUGGAACCUUCCCGACCAUCCACAGCGGCCCCGAUGGGGCCCCCUGCGGUUGGAGCCAAGCUGCUGCAUCAUUUUCCAUCCCUGGUGUCCGUCCCCCCCCGGGCAAUUAGUAAAGAGGCUUCAAUUUGUUUCUGAUUUCUA
Molecule: long non-coding RNA, 399 nt
Filed under: Strigops habroptila (Kakapo)
Lineage: Eukaryota; Metazoa; Chordata; Aves; Psittaciformes; Psittacidae
Description: lncRNA (ENSSHBG00005016462.1)
Source: RNAcentral